AGGCCACAUUUGGAGUAAUAUGUUCAGUUUUGGUCACCCUGUUAUAGGAAAGAUGUUGUUAAGUUGGAAAGGGUGCAGCAAAAAGUUAUGAGGAUAUUACCAGGACUCGACAGCCUGAGCUGUGGGGAGAUUGAGCAGGAUAGGACUUUAUUCCUUGGAGUACAGAAGAAUGAGGAGAGAUCUUAUAGCUGUGUAUAAGAUCAUCAGAGGAAUAGAUAGGGUAAGUGUACAGAGUCUUCUACCCAGAGUAGGGGAAUCGAGAAGCAGAGGACAUA
Molecule: long non-coding RNA, 275 nt
Organism: Amblyraja radiata (thorny skate)
Lineage: Eukaryota; Metazoa; Chordata; Chondrichthyes; Rajiformes; Rajidae
Exons: 3
Source: RefSeq, a predicted model, not a curated record